GCCGGAGGGGCAGCCCUGGCUGCGGCCCCGGCGGAGGGACGGCGUCGGGGGGGAAGCCCGCUGUUGGAACUAGUUGGAUCUACCACAGACUCUUGGUAGAGCUGGCAAAGCUUGCAUUGUGUCUCAUCCCUUCAAUAUGGAGCAAACUUCUGGCGGUCAGAUUUCUUAACCCCGCUCGUCGAAGGAAUUUUGGCAGUGAAAUUAGUAAAAAGGAAGACGGAAAAACACCCCGGCUUCCACAGCAGCGGUAUCCUUUCUGAGCUUGUGGCAGUGUUACAGUGAACAUAAAAGAGUUACCAGCUGACAGACAAGGUACUACUACAUGGAUACAACAUACACAUCGUCAAGACGGACCCCACCAGCACGAGGAAGUUCAGAUUGACCCGACCUCUGAGCCCAAGGCAGUGACGGGCUCUUUGGAGGAUGCAGAUAUCAAACCACCUUCACUUUAGUCUAACUCCACCCAUUGGCAGGUGAGAUGAGUUUGACCCAUGUACUUAGGCUUUUCUGUACAUUUUUAAACAGUAAAAUACAGUAAUUCCAAGGACGCGUUGUUUUUUUCAGAUGACAAAACGUUUACUUAGAUGAAUCAUCCCUUUGCUGUUUGUUGCAGCUUGUGCACUGGCUCUCAGGUUGGAACAACCUAAAUACUAAUUUCAGGAUGCGUUUUGCAUGGGACCAGCUGGGAGGUGUGACAGCCUAGCAUAUAAAUAGGACUAUGGCUUAGAAAGUCUUUGCUAGCUACAGUUAUAUGUGUAUUAAUUCCAAGUUGGGUGAUUUUUUUCAGUAAUUACUAACUUGUUGGGCUUCUGGGCUUUCUCCUGAGGUGAGCCGAGGAGCUGCAGCAGCUUCUCCUGCCCGGAGUGGAGUGUGUGCCAGCGAGCGAGCGGCUGGCUGUGCAGAGGACCUGCUGUUUUCCUGUCAGAUCCCGUCAGGCCUGGGGAAGCUUCCCAGCACAGGGUUUGUGCUGGUCCCUGUUGGCACUUGGGGCUGGCUGUGCAGGCUUAGAGAGCAGCAGCUGUAGCCAAGCUACAGGUUUGGAGGGGAGCGCGGUCACCCUACU
Molecule: long non-coding RNA, 1063 nt
Organism: Haliaeetus leucocephalus (bald eagle)
Lineage: Eukaryota; Metazoa; Chordata; Aves; Accipitriformes; Accipitridae
Exons: 3
Source: RefSeq, a predicted model, not a curated record